This 433-nucleotide ribosomal RNA is filed under the name uncultured bacterium. RNAcentral describes it as "partial 16S ribosomal RNA". It matches the Rfam family "Bacterial small subunit ribosomal RNA", at positions 29 to 507 of the family's 1533-position model. The record is from RNAcentral.
AACGAACGCUGGCGGCAUGCCUAACACAUGCAAGUCGAACGAUGCCUUCGGGCAUAGUGGCGCACGGGUGCGUAACGCGUGGGAAUCUGCCUUUCGGUUCGGAAUAACUCAGGGAAACUUGAGCUAAUACCGGAUAACGUCGCAAGACCAAAGAUUUAUCACCGAAAGAUGAGCCCGCGUAGGAUUAGCUAGUUGGUGAGGUAAAGGCUCACCAAGGCGACGAUCCUUAGCUGGUCUGAGAGGAUGAUCAGCCACACUGGGACUGAGACACGGCCCAAACUCCUACGGGAGGCAGCAGUGGGGAAUAUUGGACAAUGGGCGAAAGCCUGAUCCAGCAAUGCCGCGUGAGUGAUGAAGGCCUUAGGGUUGUAAAGCUCUUUUACCCGGGAAGAUAAUGACGGUACCGGGAGAAUAAGCCCCGGCUAACUCCGUG